UGUGAAUAAAGAAAAGAGAGUGGAACAGGUACGGCGAUGGAUUGAGAGUGGCGAAACAUUUCAUGAUGUCAUUUUCACAGAUGAAUCGUCUGUUGCCCUUGAGCGGUUCUCCAGAAUCUCAUUCCGGAAACGUAACCAUAUCUCAUUAAAACCACGCCCAAAGCAUCCAUUGAAAGUCCAUGUAUGGGGAGGCAUAACACGAUUAGGAGCUGGUCCCCUAUUAUUUUUCGAAGGGAUCAUGGAUAAGAAAUUUUUCCAAGAAACAAUAGUAGAGGGAUGUAUGGUGCCAUUUGUGAAUAAAUAUUACCCAACUCACCAUAGGAUAUUCCAAGACAAUGAUCCUAAACACUCCGCCUCUGCCAAAUUUAUGGAAGAGAAAGGUAUGAAUUGGGAACGCACACCACCAGAAUCACCAGACAUGAAUCCAAUUGAAUUAGUGUGGGCUCAAUUGAAGAGGUACAUUAGGAGUGUUGCGAAGCCAACAACAAAACAGCAGCUGUUGGAUGGGAUAAAGAAAUUUUGGCUAGAAGUACUCACACCUGAGCAUUGUAAUAAUUAUAUAAAUCACCUGUAUAAAGUAUUACCUGUUAUAGUCGAAAGAAAUGGUCAAGCCACAAAU
Molecule: long non-coding RNA, 619 nt
Organism: Pseudophryne corroboree (corroboree frog)
Lineage: Eukaryota; Metazoa; Chordata; Amphibia; Anura; Myobatrachidae
Exons: 3
Source: RefSeq, a predicted model, not a curated record